GAUGAACGCUGGCGGCGUGCCUAAUACAUGCAAGUCGAGCGAACAGACGAUGAUCUUGCUCCUCUGACGUUAGCGGCGGACGGGUGAGUAACACGUGUAUAACCUACCUAUAAGACUGGGAUAACUUCGGGAAACCGGAGCUAAUACCGGAUAAUAUAUUGAACCGCAUGGUUCAAUAGUGAAAGACGGUGUUUCUGGCACUUAUAGAUGGAUCCGCGCCGCAUUAGCUAGUUGGGAAGGUAACGGCUUACCAAGGCGACGAUGCGUAGCCGACCUGAGAGGGUGAUCGGCCACACUGGAACUGAGACACGGUCCAGACUCCUACGGGAGGCAGCAGUAGGGAAUCUUCCGCAAUGGGCGAAAGCCUGACGGAGCAACGCCGCGUGAGUGAUGAAGGUCUUCGGAUCGUAAAACUCUGUUAUUAGGGAAGAACAAAUGUGUAAGUAACUAUGCACGUCUUGACGGUACCUAAUCAGAAAGCCACGGCUAACUACGUG
This 497-nucleotide ribosomal RNA is filed under the name uncultured bacterium. RNAcentral's name for it is "partial 16S ribosomal RNA". It matches the Rfam family "Bacterial small subunit ribosomal RNA", at positions 28 to 507 of the family's 1533-position model. The record is from RNAcentral.